CAGCAGCCGCGGUAAUGCGUAGGGUGCAAGCGUUAAUCGGAAUUACUGGGCGUAAAGCGUGCGCAGGCGGUUAUAUAAGUCAGAUGUGAAAUCCCCGGGCUCAACCUGGGAACUGCAUUUGAGACUGUAUGGCUAGAGUGUGUCAGAGGGGGGUAGAAUUCCACGUGUAGCAGUGAAAUGCGUAGAUAUGUGGAGGAAUACCGAUGGCGAAGGCAGCCCCCUGGGAUAACACUGACGCUCAUGCACGAAAGCGUGGGGAGCAAACAGGAUUAGAUACCCCCGUAGUCCCUGUCUCUUAUAC
RNAcentral lists this ribosomal RNA (301 nucleotides) under uncultured bacterium. RNAcentral's name for it is "partial 16S ribosomal RNA". It matches the Rfam family "Bacterial small subunit ribosomal RNA", at positions 509 to 807 of the family's 1533-position model. The record is from RNAcentral.